This 460-nucleotide ribosomal RNA is filed under the name uncultured bacterium. Its description in RNAcentral is "partial 16S ribosomal RNA". It matches the Rfam family "Bacterial small subunit ribosomal RNA", at positions 338 to 795 of the family's 1533-position model. The record is from RNAcentral.
CCUACGGGUGGCAGCAGUGAGGAAUAUUGGUCAAUGGACGAGAGUCUGAACCAGCCAAGUAGCGUGAAGGAUGACUGCCCUAUGGGUUGUAAACUUCUUUUAUAUGGGAAUAAAACGUUCCACGUGUGGGAUUUUGUAUGUACCAUAUGAAUAAGGAUCGGCUAACGCCGUGCCAGCAGCCGCGGUAAUACGGAGGAUCCGAGCGUUAUCCGGAUUUAUUGGGUUUAAAGGGAGCGUAGGUGGAUUGUUAAGUCAGUUGUGAAAGUUUGCGGCUCAACCGUAAAAUUGCAGUUGAAACUGGCAGUCUUGAGUACAGUAGAGGUGGGCGGAAUUCGUGGUGUAGCGGUGAAAUGCUUAGAUAUCACGAAGAACUCCGAUUGCGAAGGCAGUUCACUGGACUGCAACUGACACUGAGGCUCGAAAGUGUGGGUAUCAAACAGGAUUAGAUACCCUUGUAGUC